Cucumis melo (muskmelon) is the source of this 2704-nucleotide RNA transcript. It is a transcript of the gene named serine/arginine-rich SC35-like splicing factor SCL28, with no coding region annotated. The transcript has 6 exons. Lineage: Eukaryota; Viridiplantae; Streptophyta; Magnoliopsida; Cucurbitales; Cucurbitaceae. The record is from RefSeq and is a predicted model, not a curated record.
AAAAUGUUAUGAAAUUGGCCUAAAAUUCCCAAAUCUCACCGAUCAUGUCAUGGGUGGACGUUUAAAUCUUGAAGCGGUAGGGUUUAGGGCAUGAUUUUAUCUCCAACCCGAUCGUCUCCUUCCCUCCCUCCAAAAUAUUCGAAGCCCAUCAUUAGACUCAUUUUCCUUCUCCCAAAUUCCCAUUAGGGUUAGGGUUCUCACUGCUUCAGUUUCCGAGUAAGACACGCUAAUAACCCACUAUGGCGAGGUACCGGAGCCGGAGCAGAAGUUACAGCCCUCGCCGGCGUAGUAGAACCCCACCACGCGGGCGGAAGAGGUAUGACGAUGACCCUCGAGACCGUUACCGCGAAAGCAGGUCUCAUAGGGACCGUCGUUCUCCUGCUCCUUCUGGGUUACUCGUGCGUAAUCUUCCGCUUGAUGCUAGGCCUGAAGAUCUUAGGAUCCCGUUUGAGCGAUUUGGUCCUGUUAAGGACGUGUAUCUGCCGAAGAACUACUACACUGGGGAGCCUCGAGGAUUUGGAUUUGUGAAGUUUCGGUUUGCAGAAGAUGCGGCUGAAGCAAAACAACAGCUAAAUCAUACAGUUAUAGGUGGACGGGAGAUACGAAUCGUAUUUGCUGAGGAGAACAGGAAAACUCCUCAAGAAAUGCGUGUGACGUCACGCUCAAGUGGUAGAAGCUACAGAAGACGUUCUCCAGCAAGGUCUCCGAGACGGCGAUAUCGUUCUUACUCGCGCUCACCUUCACCUGCCAGGCACGACUCAAGGUUGGAUCUUAUUUAUCAUACUUGUUUUACUUCUAGCAAGACUAACAUCAUUAUUGUCCUGCUUUUUUCCAUCACUUCUUACUUCUGUACAUUACUAUGAAUUUUGGUCGUUCCUGUCUUGAUGUUUACUUGUUUAGUAAGCUGCACAUGCCUUCUUUGAAUUUUAUAAUUUAGUACUGUAACAUGUCAAAGCAUUCUUUUUGGAUGAGAAGCAUUGUAUAAUAUUUUUGAAAUUUUGUACUUGUCUUAUAUAGAAUACCCAAACGCCAAACCCCCAAAAUGGAAGUGCUUAUUCCUUGUUUUAAUUUUCAGUGGAACCAAAAUGAUUUUGUGUGUAAAUUUAAUGUACAAUUAAGUUUAUUUUGGGUGAAAAUCAUUUUUGUAGAAAUAUUUCGAUAUAUUCAAUGUAAUUCUAUUUUCGACCAGAACCUCAAGGCUUCGGUUUUGUCAAGAGCCUCUUAAAUUUAUCAAUGGUGUUUCAAUUUUAAGUACAAAAUCCAUUUCUAAUGGAUGAGCCAUUUUUGCUCCUUUGUCAUGUUGUGAAGUUCAUAGUCAAUAUAAAUAGUACUCUGCUGUGGUUUCUGAAAUGGUAAUAAUCACUUUCGUCAUUUUUAUAAUGACUCGAGAAAUGCUUCUAAUCAUUUAAAAUCAAUUUUGUAGUCUGAAAAAUGCAUUUAAGAGAGAAAAUUAAAAAUUGAAUUGAUCUUGAGUGACUAAAGGUGUGUUUCAAAGUGAUUUUAGUACAUGACAAGGGAUUUUAACAAUUUCAAAAUCACCCCCAAACAUGCACUAAAUAGUUUGACAACAAUUGUGGCACUUCUAAUCUUCAUUUCCUCAUUAGGUUUAUAACAUCAAAUCUAUAUAUUAAUUCUAAGCAACAGUUUCAGUUUUUUGUUGUUUUACAAGCUUUAGUUGUAGAAUUUUUAUUUCAUAUGCUUGAAUGUUAUCAUGGAUAAGCAAAAACACAGAAUUUAAUGUUUGAUUUGAUGCACGUGGAAUAUUCUACUCCCUUCAUGGUACAGAGUUGCAUUGCAGGACAUUGUAUACAAUCUACUUGAUUCCUUGUUUAUGCAGAUAUUAAAGUGUAAAGGGAGACUUUAAAGACUUGUUGAUUAAUAAAGUUUAACAAGAAAAGCGAUCAUAAAGUGAUGGGCAACUUGCUUACUUUACCUAUCGAACCCUCUCCAUGAGUACAAUCUAUUACUUUUUUUAAUUACGUUAGUUGCAUGGUUUUUAUUGUUUGUUUACAUCUGUUUUGUUAGGCAGAAGUUGAGCAUUGACGAGAGUUUUAAAUCAAAAUUUAUCUCUGGUUCUUUUUUCCCCAUUUUUCCUCCCUUACAAAUCUCAACCAUUUAUCAGCAAGAAAGUGAUCUUUAAGUUUGAUAUCUUCUUUUGCAUAUACUAUCCAGUUAAGAAAGAUUAGAGCUUAUAGUUGGCCAAAGAAAGAAAUCAUCUUCAAAGGAGAAAAGGCCAAAGUUUUACUGGUUGUCGUAUGGUGACAUUGUCCAAGAAAAGAUAAUGUGUUUUUUAGAAAGUUGGGGCAAAGAGAGCUAUGAACUUGUCAGAAGCUGAUCAACCAGUACAGCUUAAUAGAGCAUAAUUCUCAGUGUUUGGAUCUACUUGUCAUUAUUUUGUUCGGAAACCUGAAAAUGGUGCAGGUAAAAGUCAUGUUUUAGUUGAACAGUUUUGAAAAUGAUGUUGAUAGAAAAUUGUGCUUAUAAAAGUAUGAUCAAGUAUCAUAAGUACCUAUUGAACGUACCUCAUUGGGGCCUUUGAAGACUGCUUGGACAGGAGCCGUGGGGCAAGGGAUGAGUAUCUAUCUCCUGCACGAUCGAGAUCAAUUUCACAUUCUCGUUCCCCUCGUGAUAGGCAGGAUUACAGCCGAUCUCCUACUCCAAAGGAUAAUGGUCGCAGCCCUCGUGAAGUGGAUAAUGCACGGAG